This 482-nucleotide ribosomal RNA is filed under the name uncultured bacterium. RNAcentral's name for it is "bacterial SSU rRNA". It matches the Rfam family "Bacterial small subunit ribosomal RNA", at positions 30 to 507 of the family's 1533-position model. The record is from RNAcentral.
AUUGAACGCUGGCGGCAUGCUUUACACAUGCAAGUCGAACGGUAGACCCUUUCGGGGGUUGAGAGUGGCGAACGGGUGAGUAAUGCAUCGGAACGUGCCCAGUCGUGGGGGAUAACGCAGCGAAAGUUGUGCUAAUACCGCAUACGACCUGAGGGUGAAAGCGGGGGACCGGUAACGGCCUCGCGCGAUUGGAGCGGCCGAUGUCUGAUUAGCUAGUUGGUGGGGUAAAGGCUCACCAAGGCGACGAUCAGUAGCGGGUCUGAGAGGAUGAUCCGCCACACUGGGACUGAGACACGGCCCAGACUCCUACGGGAGGCAGCAGUGGGGAAUUUUGGACAAUGGGGGAAACCCUGAUCCAGCCAUGCCGCGUGCGGGAAGAAGGCCUUCGGGUUGUAAACCGCUUUCGGACAGAAAGAAAUCGCAUGGAUUAAUACUCUGUGUGGAUGACGGUACUGUAAGAAGAAGCACCGGCUAACUACGUG